CUCGGUAAAGUCUAAAGGCUUAGGAUGCUUGCAUGGAAUGCAAGAGAUCCAGGUUCGAUUCCUGACUGAGG
Molecule: transfer RNA, 71 nt
Filed under: Atta colombica
Lineage: Eukaryota; Metazoa; Arthropoda; Insecta; Hymenoptera; Formicidae
Rfam family: tRNA
About the family: Transfer RNA (tRNA) molecules are approximately 80 nucleotides in length. Their secondary structure includes four short double-helical elements and three loops (D, anti-codon, and T loops).
Source: Rfam by way of RNAcentral